This 253-nucleotide ribosomal RNA is filed under the name uncultured bacterium. Its description in RNAcentral is "partial 16S ribosomal RNA". It matches the Rfam family "Bacterial small subunit ribosomal RNA", at positions 524 to 776 of the family's 1533-position model. The record is from RNAcentral.
UACGUAGGGGGCUAGCGUUGUCCGGAAUCAUUGGGCGUAAAGCGCGCGUAGGCGGCCAGAUAAGUCCGGUGUGAAAGCCACAGGCUCAACCUGUGAAUGCCGCUGGAAACUGUCUGGCUAGAGUCCGGGAGGGGCGAGUGGAAUUCCUGGUGUAGCGGUGAAAUGCGCAGAUAUCAGGAGGAACACCUAUGGCGAAGGCAGCUCGCUGGAACGGUACUGACGCUGAGGCGCGAAAGCGUGGGGAGCGAACAGG